This 582-nucleotide ribosomal RNA is filed under the name uncultured Eustigmatophyceae. RNAcentral's name for it is "SSU rRNA". It matches the Rfam family "Eukaryotic small subunit ribosomal RNA", at positions 575 to 1159 of the family's 1831-position model. The record is from RNAcentral. Lineage: Eukaryota; Eustigmatophyceae.
CGCGGUAAUUCCAGCUCCAAUAGCGUAUACUAAAGUGUUGCAGUUAAAAAGCUCGUAGUUGGAUUUCUGGCGGGGACGGCUGGUCGGUCUCGAAAGGGGCUGUACUGUUGUUGGUUCCCGUCAUCCUUGGGGAGAGCGGCUCUUACAUUAAGUUGUCGGCGUCGGGAUCCCUAUCUUUUACUGUGAAAAAAUUAGAGUGUUCAAAGCAGGCUUAGGCCCUGAAUACAUUAGCAUGGAAUAAUAAGAUACGACCUUGGUGGUCUAUUUUGUUGGUUUGCACGCCAAGGUAAUGAUUAAUAGGGAUAGUUGGGGGUAUUCGUAUUCAAUUGUCAGAGGUGAAAUUCUUGGAUUUAUGGAAGACGAACUACUGCGAAAGCAUUUACCAAGGAUGUUUUCAUUAAUCAAGAACGAAAGUUAGGGGAUCGAAGAUGAUUAGAUACCAUCGUGGUCUUAACCAUAAACUAUGCCGACUAGGGAUCGGUGGGUGCAUUUUUAGGCCUCAUCGGCACCUUAUGAGAAAUCAAAGUCUUUGGGUUCCGGGGGGAGUAUGGUCGCAAGGCUGAAACUUAAAGAAAUUGACGG